AUGAAUGUAAGGGGAGAGACUACCGUAUGGUAGCGCCGAAGGAGCAAGCCCGGCUGGGUGAAUCUCUCAGGCAAAAAGACCCUUACAGGACG
Molecule: non-coding RNA, 92 nt
Filed under: Caldalkalibacillus thermarum
Lineage: Bacteria; Bacillati; Bacillota; Bacilli; Caryophanales; Bacillaceae
Also listed under: 1 other name
Description: Glycine sequence
Rfam family: Glycine riboswitch aptamer
About the family: This family represents the bacterial glycine riboswitch. Glycine riboswitches usually consist of two metabolite-binding aptamers domains with similar structures in tandem. The aptamers cooperatively bind glycine to regulate the expression of downstream genes.
Source: RNAcentral